UUUCUGUGGGGACGGAGCGGCCGGCCGCAACUUGCGGUUCGAGCUAGCGCUUUCCCUACAUCCUGCCGCGAACCGUGCUACCAUUAGUUUGGUGGCGCCGGGGAUCGGCUCGUUUACUUUGAGAAAAAUAGAGUGUUCAAAGCAGGCCACACGCCUUGAAUAAGUUAGCAUGGAAUAAUAAUAAAGGACUUCGGUUCUAUUUUGUUGGUGUUCGGGACUGAAGUAAUGAUUGAUAGGGACAGUUGGGGCGGUCAGUAUUCCAAAGCGAGAGGUGAAAUUCUUAGACCUUCGGAAGACUAACAGCUGCGAAAGCGUUCCGCAAGGAUGUUCCCUUUGAUCAAGAACGAAAGUUGGGGGAUCGAAGACGAUCAGAUACCGUCGUAGUCUCAACUAUAAACUAUACCAGCUAGGGAUCGGCCAACGUUAAAUUAUUCGACUUGGUCGGCACCUUAUGAGAAAUCAAAGCAUCUGGGUUCCGGGGGGAGUAUGGUCGCAAGGCUGAAACUUAAAGGAAUUGACGGAAGGGCACCACCAGCCGUGGAGCCUGUGGCUUAAUUUGACUCAACACGGGAAAACUUACCAGGUCCAGACAUAGUAAGGAUUGACAGAUUGAUAGCUCUUUCUUGAUUCUGUGGGUGGUGGUGCAUGGCCGUUCUUAGUUGGUGGAGUGAUUUGUCUGGUUAAUUCCGUUAACGAACGAGACCCCAGCCUGCUAAAUAGCGUGGUUGAGCUUUGCUCGGCGCAAGCUUCUUAGAGGGACUAUGAUGCGCGAUAGCACAUGGAAGUUUGGGGCAAUAACAGGUCUGUGAUGCCCUUAGAUGUUCUGGGCCGCACACGGGCUACACUGGCGCCUGCAACGAGCAUAUCAGCUGGCCCGAGAGGGUCUUGGCUAAUCUUUUGAACCGGCGCCGUGCUUGGGAUUGACCAUUGCAAUUGUUGGUCAUGCAACGAGGAAUGCCUUGUAAACGCGAGUCAUCAACUCGCAUUGAAUACGUCCCUGCCCUCUGUA
RNAcentral lists this ribosomal RNA (1009 nucleotides) under uncultured eukaryote. Its description in RNAcentral is "bacterial SSU rRNA". It matches the Rfam family "Eukaryotic small subunit ribosomal RNA", at positions 639 to 1664 of the family's 1831-position model. The record is from RNAcentral.